Molecule: long non-coding RNA, 831 nt
Organism: Erpetoichthys calabaricus (reedfish)
Lineage: Eukaryota; Metazoa; Chordata; Cladistia; Polypteriformes; Polypteridae
Exons: 2
Source: RefSeq, a predicted model, not a curated record
UCUCUGACGUCAUCUGCAAGCGCCAACUACUUAAAGGGAAAGAAGCAUUCCUCUUCUAAAAACAGUCUCAAUUAGCUUAAGUACUGACAUGUGGUACUUGGUGCCACUGCAUUAUUGCCAAGUAGUCUGCCUGCCUAUGGAAAAGUCAUCUGUGAUAAAGGAGCUCUGGAAUCAUCGAGUAGAAAGGUCUUUUCAUCAGAUUGGCUGGCCCAGAACUGAUUCUGCUGCAGAAUGGCCAAAAGAGGGAGGCAGCUUGUUGGCCAAGGACUCCAGGAUUCUGAACAAAUAUGAAUCCUCAUAUGUGAUAUAAUCUGUUCUUGCAUUUUGCUUUGUAUACAGUAUUGUGCUAUUACUAUUGUACUAUUGCAUUUUAUUGUAUUCCUUAGGUGGUAUUGAUAGAUUGGCUAUCUAGAUCUGUGAAGAGGAUUACUUGUGUUCUGUUUGGUGUAUUGUAUUUACCCCAUUUUUUGACACCCAUUGCACACCCAACAUACCUGGAAAGGGGUCUCUCUCUGAAUUGCCUUUCUCAAGAUUUCUGACAUUUUUUUCCCUACGAGGGUACAAGGUUUUUUUUGGGAGUUCUUCCUUGUCUUCUUAGGGAGUCAAGGCUGGGGGGCUGCCAAAAAACAGGGCCUGUUUAUGCCCAUUGCUGCACUCUUUGUGUGAUUUUGGGCUAUGCAAAAAAUAAAUAGUUGUUGUUGUUGCUGAUAAAAACCCAAGGAAAAUAUUAAAUAAAGCAGAUGAUCAUAACAGUGCCACUACAAUUUAAGAAAAACUGAGCAACCGUCAAACUUAAACUUUAUUGCCAGGCAAUAUUUUUGCUUGGAAUAC